RNAcentral lists this ribosomal RNA (253 nucleotides) under uncultured bacterium. Its description in RNAcentral is "partial 16S ribosomal RNA". It matches the Rfam family "Bacterial small subunit ribosomal RNA", at positions 524 to 776 of the family's 1533-position model. The record is from RNAcentral.
GACGUAGGGUGCGAGCGUUGUCCGGAUUUAUUGGGCGUAAAGAGCUCGUAGGCGGCCUGUCGCGUCAGCUGUGAAAACCCGCGGCUUAACCGUGGGCUUGCAGCUGAUACGGGCAGGCUAGAGUUCGGUAGGGGAGACUGGAAUUCCUGGUGUAGCGGUGAAAUGCGCAGAUAUCAGGAGGAACACCGGUGGCGAAGGCGGCAUCCUGGACCGAGAUCGACGCUGAUGAGCGAAAGCUAGGGGAGCAAACGGG